Ribosomal RNA from Loxodonta africana (African savanna elephant), 119 nucleotides. The record is from Ensembl. NCBI's taxonomy places the organism in Eukaryota, Metazoa, Chordata, Mammalia, Proboscidea, Elephantidae.
GACUAUGGCCAUACCACCCUUAACAUACCUGAUCCGGUCUGAUCUUGGAAGCUAAGCAGGGUCAGGCCUGGUUAGUACUUGGAUGGGAGACCGCCUGGGAAUACUGGGUGCUGUAGGCU